AUGCCACAAAAAGGGUGGAGGUGGUGGGUGCUGUGUUGUGAUCAAGAGAAAACAGAGGGUGCUGUGUGGGGUUACUUUCUUGAGCUAACCCUAUUUUUGGAAGCAAAUGAGUGGACUGUUGAUAUGGGGCCAGGGGGCUGUAAAGCUGGGGAGAGAAGGAGUGUGGCCUUAGGAGGCUGUGGUGGGGGUUUUAAGGGCUUUCCUCAGGGUUGGUUCAUCCUGUGGGAGAAAGAUUUGAGAAGAUACAACCAGGUGUGCUGGAAAGUUGUUUGUCCUGAACAAGGGAAACAAAUGAAAAGAGCUGAAGAAAGACGUCAUCCAUGAAAGAUGUCAUUGAUGCCAAAUCUUCAAGAUGGGAAGGUACAGCUAGCUGUAUUCAUUACCUGUUCAACUGUGUUUGUUAAGAUGCGAUGCAUUUAUCACCAUGACAAGGUGUUGUACUAGCUGAAAGAGAUCUCCGAGGUGAGUGAAUUUAAAGAACUUCUGUUUUAGCAGCCUUUUGUUGUGUAGGUGUUGUCUUGAAUCUUGAGAAAUUAUUUGCAAUCUUGCAUUCUCAACUUGUGUUUUCCAAUGUGUUUAAGCUAAUGUGAAUUUUCAUAAAGUUAUGAAACCUGUUUACUAAGUGUCUUUGUGCUCUAGCUCUUCAGGGUGUCUGGAAUUGAGUUCUAGGUAGCAGGAGGGCUUUUCUG
This 689-nucleotide long non-coding RNA is filed under the name Anas platyrhynchos platyrhynchos (common mallard). RNAcentral describes it as "lncRNA (ENSAPLG00000021728.1)". Lineage: Eukaryota; Metazoa; Chordata; Aves; Anseriformes; Anatidae. The record is from RNAcentral.